AUUGAACGCUGGCGGCAUGCCUUACACAUGCAAGUCGAACGGCAGCGCGGGGGUAACCCUGGCGGCGAGUGGCGAACGGGUGAGUAAUAUAUCGGAACGUACCCUUGGGUGGGGGAUAACGUAGCGAAAGUUACGCUAAUACCGCAUACGAUCUACGGAUGAAAGUGGGGGCUCCGCAAGGACCUCAUGCUCAUGGAGCGGCCGAUAUCUGAUUAGCUAGUUGGUAGGGUAAAAGCCUACCAAGGCAUCGAUCAGUAGCUGGUCUGAGAGGACGACCAGCCACACUGGAACUGAGACACGGUCCAGACUCCUACGGGAGGCAGCAGUGGGGAAUUUUGGACAAUGGGCGAAAGCCUGAUCCAGCAAUGCCGCGUGAGUGAAGAAGGCCUUCGGGUUGUAAAGCUCUUUUGUCAGGGAAGAAACGGCGGUUUCCAAUACAGAUCGCUAAUGACGGUAC
RNAcentral lists this ribosomal RNA (457 nucleotides) under uncultured Oxalobacteraceae bacterium. Its description in RNAcentral is "bacterial SSU rRNA". It matches the Rfam family "Bacterial small subunit ribosomal RNA", at positions 30 to 478 of the family's 1533-position model. Lineage: Bacteria; Pseudomonadati; Pseudomonadota; Betaproteobacteria; Burkholderiales; Oxalobacteraceae. The record is from RNAcentral.